UACGUAGGGAGCAAGCGUUGUUCGGAUUUACUGGGCGUAAAGGGCGCGUAGGCGGUCGUGACAAGUCACUUGUGAAAUCUCCGGGCUUAACUCGGAACGGUCAAGUGAUACUGUCGGACUAGAGUACAGAAGGGGCAACUGGAAUUCUCGGUGUAGCGGUGAAAUGCGUAGAUAUCGAGAGGAACACCUGCGGCGAAGGCGGGUUGCUGGGCUGAUACUGACGCUGAGGCGCGAAAGCGUGGGGAGCAAACAGG
RNAcentral lists this ribosomal RNA (254 nucleotides) under uncultured bacterium. Its description in RNAcentral is "partial 16S ribosomal RNA". It matches the Rfam family "Bacterial small subunit ribosomal RNA", at positions 524 to 776 of the family's 1533-position model. The record is from RNAcentral.